RNAcentral lists this ribosomal RNA (253 nucleotides) under uncultured bacterium. RNAcentral describes it as "partial 16S ribosomal RNA". It matches the Rfam family "Bacterial small subunit ribosomal RNA", at positions 524 to 776 of the family's 1533-position model. The record is from RNAcentral.
UACGGAGGGGGCAAGCGUUAUUCGGAAUUAUUGGGCGUAAAGGGCGCGUAGGCGGCUUUGCAAGUGACGGGUGAAAUCCCUCGGCUUAACCGAGGAACUGCCUGUCAGACUGUAAGGCUUGAGACCGGGAGAGGUGAGUGGAAUUCCCAGUGUAGCGGUGAAAUGCGUAGAUAUUGGGAGGAACACCAGUGGCGAAGGCGGCUCACUGGACCGGUACUGACGCUGAGGCGCGAAAGCGUGGGGAGCAAACAGG